AGUUCCUCUCCCCCGCAUCCCCUUGUUUCCCCUCCCCUGGUUGCCAGGAGCCCGACGAGGAAGCCAUCAUGAGCCCCACUUGGUUGGUGUAGGGACAGCGAGUUCGGGGCAUGGCGGCGGCGGCGCGAGGGCAUGGCGGCGGCGACGCGAGGGCAUGGCGAGGCGGAGACGCGAGGAGGAGGCUCUCCGCGGUGGUGCUCUGGUGGUGCGAGGAGGAGGCGCGAGGACUCCGGUGGUGCUCCGCGGCUCUCCUCUAGAUCCACCGCGCGCGAGGAGGAGGCACGAGGACUCCGACGAGGAGAC
Molecule: long non-coding RNA, 303 nt
Filed under: Sorghum bicolor (sorghum)
Lineage: Eukaryota; Viridiplantae; Streptophyta; Magnoliopsida; Poales; Poaceae
Description: long non-coding RNA (SBIC_LNC001847)
Source: RNAcentral